Molecule: long non-coding RNA, 560 nt
Organism: Mustela erminea (ermine)
Lineage: Eukaryota; Metazoa; Chordata; Mammalia; Carnivora; Mustelidae
Exons: 4
Source: RefSeq, a predicted model, not a curated record
UCAAGUUGUACCAACACAGAGAAAGGAGGAGGAACCUCUGGUCGGCCCUUGAGAACAUUUUAGCUGGGGUUCUGGAAUGGAAUGUGGCACAGAAAGGCCAAACCAGACCAGUAAAUUCUUUGAAAGGGUGAAAAGCAAGGAUUGUGGAUUUCUGGAAGAUGGAUGCUGUUGGAUUUCCAGAAGAUGGAUGCUGUUGACUUUCAGGGCAAUCCUUUGUCACUCAGGAUUCUGGAUGCCCUUUUGAAAGAUUCCAAGAGAACCUUCGUUUCUCACUGUCCCUGCUACUGAUAGCCACCUGACCUGCCGGGCUGUCUCUGCUGCUUGUCUCAUUCACAGAUGGAGAAGAGUUCCUGCUACUCUUGAUGACGCCUUUUGGGAGUCCUCCAUUUGACCUCCCUGAGUGAGAACUGAUGAGGACACUGCUGUUGAUGAAGCUGCUGAUUCAAGAGUCUUCAAAGGCCACUGUCUCACCUCAUUGUAGGCUUAAGCUCCUGACCUUUACUCCUUCCUGUAAAGAUCCUCAGGAGCCUAACAGUGCCAUUCUGAGAGCUCUGUUAUCC